This 687-nucleotide small RNA is filed under the name Malus domestica (apple). Its description in RNAcentral is "sRNA MD02G0126100". The record is from RNAcentral. Lineage: Eukaryota; Viridiplantae; Streptophyta; Magnoliopsida; Rosales; Rosaceae.
ACAAACACCCUUCCCUCCUCCUCCGUCUCACCUGACAUCAGCAAACGCAGCGUAUUAAGCAACGGCUCGUAGAGAUGAUCGUGAUACACUACAUCCGAGGCUAGAAUAAGAUCAAACUCCCGCCCAAUCUUCUCUACGUCCGCCGCUUCCCCCCACCUCAGCGCCGCCACGUGGACCACCCCACCGUUAGCUGCCAAUACGGAGGCGUUUGCUUCCACGUUGAAUAACAGGUUAGGAAUGACGUGGGGGAGGUCAGUUACCGUGACGGUAGCCCCGAGCGUGGCUGCGGCGGCGAUUCCGACGAUGCCGGUCCCGGAGCCGAGCUCGAGGAUUCUGUGAGGGCGCUGCCUCGAGUCCAACGCCGAGAGUGUGGGGCCCAGUGGUCCGGUGCUGGGGUCACGACGGUGCCCGUCGAGGAGCGUGAGGAGCGUGGUGGCGGGCGGCCAGAGCUGGAAGGAGAUGCCUUGAGACCGGAGCUCCCGGAUGAAGACGACCGAGUUGAUGGAAUGGAGGCAAUGCUGAGUCGAUGGAAGGAGCGUAGCGGUCUCGGGGAUCAGUAUUGCAUCGUCUUCAGAAUCACCGCCUUCUUGAGCCGCCAUUGAUGAUGCGCCGCCGCCGAUGAUUCUGGUUGCGACUCGACUUCAAGUGCACUAGGGUCUAGGGCUUGUUUGGCUCACUAUUUGAUAU